AUUGAACGCUGGCGGCAUGCCUUACACAUGCAAGUCGAACGGUAACGCGGGGCAACCUGGCGACGAGUGGCGAACGGGUGAGUAAAGCAUCGGAACGUGCCCAGUAGUGGGGGAUAGCCCGGCGAAAGCCGGAUUAAUACCGCAUACGACCUAUGGGUGAAAGGGGGGGAUCGCAAGACCUCUCGCUAUUGGAGCGGCCGAUGUCAGAUUAGGUAGUUGGUGGGGUAAAGGCCUACCAAGCCGACGAUCUGUAGCUGGUCUGAGAGGACGACCAGCCACACUGGGACUGAGACACGGCCCAGACUCCUACGGGAGGCAGCAGUGGGGAACUUUGGACAAUGGGCGCAAGCCUGAUCCAGCCAUGCCGCGUGCGGGAAGAAGGCCUUCGGGUUGUGAACCGCUUUUGUCAGGGAAGAAAUCCUUUGGGUUAAUACCUCGGGGGGAUGACGGUACCUGAAGAAUAAGCACCGGCUAACUACGUGCCAGCAGCCGCCGUAA
This 498-nucleotide ribosomal RNA is filed under the name uncultured bacterium. RNAcentral describes it as "partial 16S ribosomal RNA". It matches the Rfam family "Bacterial small subunit ribosomal RNA", at positions 29 to 523 of the family's 1533-position model. The record is from RNAcentral.